UGGGGAAUAUUGGACAAUGGGGGGAACCCUGAUCCAGCCAUGCCGCGUGUGUGAAGAAGGCCUUAUGGUUGUAAAGCACUUUAAGCGAGGAGGAGGGUACUGGUAUUAAUACUACCAGGUACUGGACGUUACUCGCAGAAUAAGCACCGGCUAACUCUGUGCCAGCAGCCGCGGUAAUACAGAGGGUGCGAGCGUUAAUCGGAUUUACUGGGCGUAAAGCGUGCGUAGGCGGCUAAUUGAGUCGGAUGUGAAAUCCCCGAGCUUAACAUGGGAAUUGCAGUCGAUACUGGUUAGCUAGAGUGUGGGAGAGGAUGGUAGAAUUCCAGGUGGAGCGGUGAAAUGCGUAGAGAUCUGGAGGAAUACCGAUGGCGAAGGCAGCCAUCUGGCCUAACACUGACGCUGAGGUACGAAAGCAUGGGGAGCAAACAGG
RNAcentral lists this ribosomal RNA (430 nucleotides) under Pseudomonadota bacterium. Its description in RNAcentral is "Proteobacteria bacterium partial 16S ribosomal RNA". It matches the Rfam family "Bacterial small subunit ribosomal RNA", at positions 355 to 776 of the family's 1533-position model. The record is from RNAcentral. Lineage: Bacteria; Pseudomonadati; Pseudomonadota.